RNAcentral lists this ribosomal RNA (516 nucleotides) under uncultured bacterium. RNAcentral describes it as "partial 16S ribosomal RNA". It matches the Rfam family "Bacterial small subunit ribosomal RNA", at positions 350 to 858 of the family's 1533-position model. The record is from RNAcentral.
AGCAGUGGGGAAUAUUGGACAAUGGGCGAAAGCCUGAUCCAGCCAUGCCGCGUGUGUGAAGAAGGCCCUCGGGUUGUAAAGCACUUUCAGCGAGGAAGAACGCAUAGUGGUUWAUACCCAUUAGGAAAGACAUCAMUCGCAGAAGAAGCACCGGCUAACUYCGUKCCAGCAGCCGCGGUAAUACGGAGGGUGCAAGCGUUAAUUGGAAUUACUGGGCGUAAAGCGCGCGUAGGUGGSUUGAUWAGCCGGUUGUGAAAGCCCCGGGCUCAACCUGGGAACGGCAUCCGGAACUGUCAAGCUAGAGUGCAGGAGAGGAAGGURGAAUUACCGGUGUAGCGGUGAAAURHGUAGAGAUCKGGAGGAAUACCAGUGGCGAAGGCGGCCUUCUGGWMWRACAAURACACUGAGGUGGGAAAGCGUGGGUAGCAAACAAGAUUAGAUACCCUGGUAGUCCCCCCCGUAAUCGAUGUCGACCAGCCGUUGGGUGCCUAGCGCACUUUGUGGCGAAGUUAACAC